GGGGGAACCCUGAUGCAGCGACGCCGCGUGAGUGAAGAAGUAUCUCGGUAUGUAAAGCUCUAUCAGCAGGGAAGAAAAUGACGGUACCUGACUAAGAAGCCCCGGCUAACUACGUGCCAGCAGCCGCGGUAAUACGUAGGGGGCAAGCGUUAUCCGGAAUUACUGGGUGUAAAGGGUGCGUAGGUGGUAUGGCAAGUCAGAAGUGAAAACCCAGGGCUUAACUCUGGGACUGCUUUUGAAACUGUCAGACUGGAGUGCAGGAGAGGUAAGCGGAAUUCCUAGUGUAGCGGUGAAAUGCGUAGAUAUUAGGAGGAACAUCAGUGGCGAAGGCGGCUUACUGGACUGAAACUGACACUGAGGCACGAAAGCGUGGGGAGCAAACAGGAUUAGAUACCCUGGUAG
Molecule: ribosomal RNA, 402 nt
Filed under: uncultured bacterium
Lineage: Bacteria
Description: bacterial SSU rRNA
Rfam family: Bacterial small subunit ribosomal RNA
Source: RNAcentral